GUCUACAGCCAUACCACCUUGAAUGCACCCGAUCUUGUCUGAUCUCAGAAGCUAAGCAGGGUUGGGCCUGGUUGGUACUUGGAUGGAAGAAU
Molecule: ribosomal RNA, 92 nt
Filed under: Neogale vison (American mink)
Lineage: Eukaryota; Metazoa; Chordata; Mammalia; Carnivora; Mustelidae
Source: RNAcentral